This 430-nucleotide ribosomal RNA is filed under the name uncultured Alphaproteobacteria bacterium. RNAcentral describes it as "bacterial SSU rRNA". It matches the Rfam family "Bacterial small subunit ribosomal RNA", at positions 958 to 1385 of the family's 1533-position model. The record is from RNAcentral. Lineage: Bacteria; Pseudomonadati; Pseudomonadota; Alphaproteobacteria.
AACGCGAAGAACCUUACCAGGCCUUGACAUCCCGGUCGCGGCCCCUUGAAAGAGGGGCCUUCAGUUCGGCUGGACCGGUGACAGGUGCUGCAUGGCUGUCGUCAGCUCGUGUCGUGAGAUGUUGGGUUAAGUCCCGCAACGAGCGCAACCCUCGCCCUUAGUUGCCAUCAUUUAGUUGGGCACUCUAAGGGGACUGCCGGUGAUAAGCCGCGAGGAAGGUGGGGAUGACGUCAAGUCCUCAUGGCCCUUACGGCCUGGGCCACACACGUGCUACAAUGGCGGUGACAAUGGGCAGCAAAGGGGCGACCCGGAGCUAAUCUCAAAAAGCCGUCUCAGUUCGGAUUGCACUCUGCAACUCGGGUGCAUGAAGUCGGAAUCGCUAGUAAUCGCGGAUCAGCACGCCGCGGUGAAUACGUUCCCGGGCCUUGUA